GCGGAUGUGAUGAAAUUGGGAGACAUGUCAGAUUUAGGUUCUGGUGGACAUAGUCCAUGUGGGUUCAAGUCCCUCCAUCCGCA
RNAcentral lists this transfer RNA (83 nucleotides) under prasinophyte sp. MBIC10622. RNAcentral's name for it is "tRNA-Leu". It matches the Rfam family "tRNA". Rfam says of the family: Transfer RNA (tRNA) molecules are approximately 80 nucleotides in length. Their secondary structure includes four short double-helical elements and three loops (D, anti-codon, and T loops). The record is from RNAcentral. Lineage: Eukaryota; Viridiplantae; Chlorophyta.